Molecule: ribosomal RNA, 1307 nt
Filed under: Microbacterium sp.
Lineage: Bacteria; Bacillati; Actinomycetota; Actinomycetes; Micrococcales; Microbacteriaceae
Description: bacterial SSU rRNA
Rfam family: Bacterial small subunit ribosomal RNA
Source: RNAcentral
AGUGGCGAACGGGUGAGUAACACGUGAGCAACCUGCCCCUGACUCUGGGAUAAGCGCUGGAAACGGCGUCUAAUACUGGAUAUGUGACGUGAUCGCAUGGUCUGCGUCUGGAAAGAAUUUCGGUUGGGGAUGGGCUCGCGGCCUAUCAGCUUGUUGGUGAGGUAAUGGCUCACCAAGGCGUCGACGGGUAGCCGGCCUGAGAGGGUGACCGGCCACACUGGGACUGAGACACGGCCCAGACUCCUACGGGAGGCAGCAGUGGGGAAUAUUGCACAAUGGGCGCAAGCCUGAUGCAGCAACGCCGCGUGAGGGAUGACGGCCUUCGGGUUGUAAACCUCUUUUAGCAGGGAAGAAGCGAAAGUGACGGUACCUGCAGAAAAAGCGCCGGCUAACUACGUGCCAGCAGCCGCGGUAAUACGUAGGGCGCAAGCGUUAUCCGGAAUUAUUGGGCGUAAAGAGCUCGUAGGCGGUUUGUCGCGUCUGCUGUGAAAUCCGGAGGCUCAACCUCCGGCCUGCAGUGGGUACGGGCAGACUAGAGUGCGGUAGGGGAGAUUGGAAUUCCUGGUGUAGCGGUGGAAUGCGCAGAUAUCACGAGGAACACCGAUGGCGAAGGCAGAUCUCUGGGCCGUAACUGACGCUGAAGAGCUAAAUGGUGGGGAGCAAACAGGCUUAGAUACCCUGGUAGUCCACCCCGUAAACGUUGGGAACUAGUUGUGCGGUCCAUUCCACGGAUUCCCUGACGCACCUGACGCAUUAAGUUCCCGCCUGGGGAGUACGGCCGCAAGGCUAAAACUCAAAGGAAUUGACGGGGACCCGCACAAGCGGCGGAGCAUGCGGAUUAAUUCGAUGCAACGCGAAGAACCUUACCAAGGCUUGACAUAUACGAGAACGGGCCAGAAAUGGUCAACUCUUUGGACACUCGUAAACAGGUGGUGCAUGGUUGUCGUCAGCUCGUGUCGUGAGAUGUUGGGUUAAGUCCCGCAACGAGCGCAACCCUCGUUCUAUGUUGCCAGCACGUAAUGGUGGGAACUCAUGGGAUACUGCCGGGGUCAACUCGGAGGAAGGUGGGGAUGACGUCAAAUCAUCAUGCCCCUUAUGUCUUGGGCUUCACGCAUGCUACAAUGGCCGGUACAAAGGGCUGCAAUACCGUGAGGUGGAGCGAAUCCCAAAAAGCCGGUCCCAGUUCGGAUUGAGGUCUGCAACUCGACCUCAUGAAGUCGGAGUCGCUAGUAAUCGCAGAUCAGCAACGCUGCGGUGAAUACGUUCCCGGGUCUUGUACACACCGCCCGUCAAGUCAUGAAAGUCGG